GCCUGCGGAAGGGGGAAAGCGGAGAAGGGGAUCAGCAUCCAGGCGCGGACCUACCGGACCCGCGGCGGCAUCGGGCGCAGCCCGGCGUGGCAGAGGCUGAGCCGGUCUGAGGGAGGGGAGUGGCCGCCGGGCGGACGCAGGGGGUGGCUGCUAGCCCGAGUCCGUGUGCGGAGGAUGGAGGGGGCCACCCCUCAGCCUGACGGGGCUCGAUUUGUGCUGUCUCCUACACACCCUGGGGGAGGGGAGGAGGCGGGCCCUCUUGCUCCCCCCCGGCGGCUGCGCCCAGCCCAUUAACCCUUUACACCCAGGCCGGGUAGGGCUCUGCCCUUCAGAGAGGUCGCAGGCCUGUGACGUGAGAGGUCUCGCGUCUCCCCAGCAUCCUUCAAGUCAGCGAGCCGCCGUUAACGUCCGUUAGUUUCCACCGGCAGCCAAGAGAACCUUUCGGUGAGGAAGUUCCAUCCCUUCCCCCUCACGGCCCCCCUUUCUGGGGCCUGAGUGGAAUUUGGAACAUUCCGUUUUGCUGCAAUCAAGCCGGCUGCUCUGCACAGGAAGGAAGACAGAGAUGCUGUAGUAAAUGAAGCUGUAAGGAGUGUGGGGACUGGACUUUGGAGAGAUGGAACAAGUGGAGUAGUCUUCAUGCUCCUAGGAAGUUACUGUACUGUUGGGCAAAGUUUGGACACCCUGCUCUGAAAUUUCCACAAGGCUGCAACAGCCAAUGGUAUUCCCUCUUCAAAGUGUAACCUCCAUAUCUAUAAAGGACUAAGUAGUGAGGAGAACUGUUAGGUGACCAGCUUGUGCUGCUCUCUCUUUGUACCAUCACGGAGGCUAAGAUCCUCUUGGUUAUUCUUGCUGACUAUUUCUGAGGUUAAACACUGCAAGAGGAGAGACCAUGUGUUUUCAAUGGAGGGUCACACAUCUGGAAAUUGCUCCCUCCAGAGGUCCAUCAGAACCCAAAUUUGUGGUCAGAUUUGUGAGCAACGCUGUAUACCUGCACUAUUGAGAAAAGUGUGAGCUAUUCCGUCAUUAAAAGACACAAGAAUCCUGAACCGAUCGGUCUCAUAAUCAUCUCCAAGCUGUUGAAGAAUGGGGAUAACAGGAGCUAUCUAUCUUGAAAAGCAUGGACAUUCGCAAAUGACAGAAGCCAUGUCAAAGACUGAGGAAAGGAAGGAUGGCACCAGUUACACCAAAGGUUAUAUCGUCUCCAUUUCUGAAGGUAAAUUUGUCUAGUAGAUUCCUUUCUGCUAUUUACCAAUGUCUUUUGAACUUCAGAUAAACAUGUGGUCUCUAGUCCCAAGAACCAUUGAGGAAUCAAGCUUGUAGUUGCAGGAUGUUCAGAUUAGGAUGGAGCACUUGACCCGCAUUCUGAGACAACAGUCAAGGUUUGUUCAGGAGCUGCCACAGAGGGCAAGAGGUGAGUUUGAUGAGAUUGAUGUGCAAGCACUGUUCCUGUUGUGACCAUUUGCCUUGGACUGUGUGAGGACCCAAAUGUGCUUCCCAUCCCAAAAGGGAAACAUUCAACAUUACUAUCACUGUAGGGGAUUCUGGCUGAACAGGAUUCCUGCACAAACUUUGGAUGGAUUCAGCCACCAGAUGAGUGACUUCAGGACCUGAUUGGGUACAGAUACUCACUUGUUAAUACAGUUUGUUGGGUAUACAAACAGUCCUGAGCCACCCCUGAAGAUACAAACGGGUGCUUUGUGUUACAAAAACGCAAGCUGCCAUACAUAACAGCAGUUGCAGACAUGUCCUUGCUGGAACUUGAGGGAUGAGCUGCACUCUUUGUAUAUGGUUCUUCAGAGCAAGGAACCUGUCAAGAGGGAGAUAAACUCUUCACAUUAUCGAAUCCAGAAGUGCUCCUAUAAAGAGAAUUCAUUGUGCAGAGGUCAAGAUAGAUUUCUUGAGAUUUAUUUGCAGGCCUAGCCUUCAGAAUAGUGAAGUUGUUGUUUGGACGGCAAACCUAACUCCUGAUAUGACCACCCUUGAGGAGCCAGUUGUCAAGGCAGGGAAAGACAGUUAUCCCUAUAUGACUGAGAUAGGCAGCUAUGACAACCAUGAUUUUUAAGAACACCCUUGGGGCGGAUAACAGGCCAAAAAGUGUAAAACCUGGUAAUGAUUGUGAUUAAAAGUGAAACAAAGAAAUCUUUCGUGAGAAGGAUGAAUCAUUACGUGGAAGUAGGCAUCUUUGAGGUUGUGGCUCGCAAACCAGUCCCCUAAUUCCAAGGAGGGAAUUAUAGCUGCUAGGGAUACCAUCCUGAAUUUCAGAUGUCUGACAUGCUUGUUCCAUUGUCUGAGAUGUAGUAUCUGCCUCCAACCUAUUCUUCUUUGGUAUCAGAAAAUAUCUUGAAUAGAACCCUUUUCCCCUGUGUCGAAGUGGGACUGACUCUAUGGUUCCUAGACUUAGGAGUGAUGAGAUCUCCUGUGUCAGCAAUUGCUUGUGAGAGGAGCCCCUGAAGAGGGAAGGGGAAGGGGGUUGGAAGGGUGGGGUGGAGGUAAAUUUGAUAGUACAGCCAAAGUAAUGGCCUCCAAUACCCAUUUGUCCAAUGUUAUAGUCUCCCGUACUUGAUGAAAGAGAGAGGUGGUGUUCAAAUUGAGGAAGAAGGGUUGUGUCCAGCAGUUGAUAAAACCUGGUCAUUGGAUGGUCUGGACUCUUUACCAAACAAUCAAAAAUGGUGUUUGGAUGAUGCUGAAGGCUGGGGUGAAGCAGUCGAGGUAGUUGCAGACUUUCUUUGAAAACCUGAACCUCUUGGUCAGUGGUUUUGGUGGCCUACGGAAGGCAGAAAAUUGAGCAGGGUGGGAUCUUUGUGUUGACUGAGACCUGCUAAACUUCCUUAUUUUUUGCAGGAGUGUAUAUCCCUAAAAACUUAAGUUUUGUCCUAGAGUGUUUUAGGGUAUGAAGCGAGUUAUCUGUGGAAUCUGCGAAAAGCCUCUGGCAUUUGAAAGGUAAAUCUUCCACAAUCGAUUGUACCUCCCGCAGAAACCUGGGACAACUGAAGCCAGGAAGUUUGCCUCAUUGAUACUGUGGUGGAGACAGACCUGGCUGUCUUGUUCGUCACAUUGAGUGAAGCUUGCAGUGAAGUUUUUGCUAAAAGCUGACCCUCUUUUAUCAUGGAGCUGAACUGUUCAUGAUGUUUCUGUGGCAAAUGGUCAGUAAAAGCAUUAAAUUUCUCUUAAUUCAGGUAGUCGUAUUCUUACAUCAGCACCUGGUGGUGAGUUAUCCUGAACUGAAGUGUUGUUGAUGAAUAGCUCUUAUGACUUUUCUAGUCCUUAUUAUAAAGGGGUGGCUUUUUGGAUAUGCUAACUACCCCUUUCAUUGGCUGCAUCCAUGAACAGAGAGUUUGGUGUAGGAUGAGAAAAUAAAAAUUCAGAAUCCCUGGGUGGGAUGUAGUAUUUUUUAAUCAUCCCUCUUCCGUGUGGCUUAGUGGGGGUGGGGGUGUUGCUGGGGU
Trachemys scripta elegans is the source of this 3443-nucleotide long non-coding RNA. RefSeq lists it as uncharacterized. Lineage: Eukaryota; Metazoa; Chordata; Testudines; Emydidae. The record is from RefSeq and is a predicted model, not a curated record. The transcript has 7 exons.